This 78-nucleotide transfer RNA is filed under the name Synergistaceae bacterium. RNAcentral describes it as "tRNA-Arg". It matches the Rfam family "tRNA". From Rfam's summary of the family: Transfer RNA (tRNA) molecules are approximately 80 nucleotides in length. Their secondary structure includes four short double-helical elements and three loops (D, anti-codon, and T loops). Lineage: Bacteria; Thermotogati; Synergistota; Synergistia; Synergistales; Synergistaceae. The record is from RNAcentral.
GUGUCCGUAGCUCAGCUCGGAUAGAGUGUUGGCCUCCGGAGCCAAAGGUCGUGGGUUCGAAUCCCACCGGGCACGCCA